CUUCCUCCAUCCUGCUCUCUCUUCUCAGAAACCCAAAAAACAAAACUCUCUCCUUCCCCCAAAAUCAAAAUCCAAAACUUAGAUGAGAAAGAAGUAAGCGAUCAAAGGUAGAGCUGAUCAGAUACAAAGAGUCUCGCACCCACCUUCAAGCGCCUCCCCUUCUAUUGCUGCGGGUAGAGCUGAUCAGAUACAAAGAGUCUCGCACCCACCUUCAAGCGCCUCUCCUUCUAUUGCUGCGGGUACCUGUUCUCUCUUUCAAAUUCAUUCAUUGUUAUUUGAAUCUCUCUCUAAUUUUCAAAAUUCUUUUAUUUUGUGCUUUGCAGUCCUACAUUGACACUUUUUAUUUUCUGGUAAUUCUCCAACUUCUUUUCAUUCUAAAUUUAAUCCGUUUAGUUUAAAGUUAGGGUUUUCAAAAUUUCAGUUAUAGUGCGUGGUAGGUGUUUGAUGCUGGGUCUCAGUUAAUAAAUCCUUAUUGUUUGUUA
Molecule: long non-coding RNA, 482 nt
Organism: Quercus lobata
Lineage: Eukaryota; Viridiplantae; Streptophyta; Magnoliopsida; Fagales; Fagaceae
Exons: 2
Source: RefSeq, a predicted model, not a curated record